RNAcentral lists this non-coding RNA (95 nucleotides) under Legionella adelaidensis. RNAcentral's name for it is "TPP sequence". It matches the Rfam family "TPP riboswitch aptamer (THI element)". Rfam says of the family: Vitamin B(1) in its active form thiamin pyrophosphate (TPP) is an essential coenzyme that is synthesised by coupling of pyrimidine and thiazole moieties in bacteria. The record is from Rfam by way of RNAcentral. Lineage: Bacteria; Pseudomonadati; Pseudomonadota; Gammaproteobacteria; Legionellales; Legionellaceae.
AAAAACCACCGGGGGUGCCUUUUACAAGGCUGAGACAAAACCCUUAGAACCUGCACCAGAUAAUGCUGGCGAAGGGAGUGUGAGAGCUACUUGCC